Molecule: non-coding RNA, 30 nt
Filed under: Rattus norvegicus (Norway rat)
Lineage: Eukaryota; Metazoa; Chordata; Mammalia; Rodentia; Muridae
Source: RNAcentral
UGGCCUUGAACUCUUGAGAGAUCCUCUGAC